AGCGAACGCUGGCGGCAGGCCUAACACAUGCAAGUCGAACGAACCUUUCGGGGUUAGUGGCGGACGGGUGAGUAACACGUGGGAACGUGCCUUUAGGUUCGGAAUAACUCAGGGAAACUUGUGCUAAUACCGAAUGUGCCCUUCGGGGGAAAGAUUAAUCGCCUUUAGAGCGGCCCGCGUCUGAUUAGCUAGUUGGUUGAGGUAAUGGCUCACCAAGGCGACGAUCAGUAGCUGGUCUGAGAGGAUGAUCAGCAACAUUGGGGCUGAGACACGGCCCAAACUCCUACGGGAGGCAGCAGUGGGGAAUCUUGCGCAAUGGGCGAAAGCCUGACGCAGCCAUGCCGCGUGAAUGAUGAAGGUCUUAGGAUUGUAAAAUUCUUUCACCGGGGACGAUAAUGACGGUACCCGGAGAAGAAGCCCCGGCUAACUUCGUG
RNAcentral lists this ribosomal RNA (434 nucleotides) under uncultured bacterium. Its description in RNAcentral is "partial 16S ribosomal RNA". It matches the Rfam family "Bacterial small subunit ribosomal RNA", at positions 29 to 507 of the family's 1533-position model. The record is from RNAcentral.